GGCGAAAGGGUGAGUAAUAUAUGGACGACUUACCCUCGAGACGGGGAUAACAGCUCGAAAGGGCUGCUAAUACCCAAUGGUUCCGGUUGCUUCCGGGUUUCCGGAUAAAUGGUGCUUCCGCUCGAGGAGAGGUCCAUGUCCUAUCAGCUUUUUGGUGAGGUAAUGGCUCACCAAGGCUAUUACGGGUAGCCCGACUGAGAGGUUGGCCGGUCACACUGGGACUGAGACACUGCCCAGACUCCUACGGGAGGCUGCAGUCGAGAAUCUUCCGCAAUGGGUGAAAGCCUGACGGAGAGACGCCGCGUGCAGGAAGAAGGCCCUCGGGUUGUAAACUGCUGUCACACGUUAAGAAUUGUUGCGGUCUACCGUAACUUGACAAAAGCGUGAGAGGAAGUCACGGCUAACUUCGUGCCAGCAGCCGCGGUAAAACGAAGGUGGCUAGCGUUGUUCGGAAUUACUGGGCGUAAAGAGCACGUAGGUGGUUUCGUGUCUCGAUGGUGAAAUCCUGCAGCUCAACUGUAGAGCUCCCGUCGAAACUACGAGGCUAGAGGACAGGAGGGGAGAGUGGAAUUCCUAGUGUAGCCGUGAAAUGCGUAGAUAUUAGGAGGAACGCCGGUGGCGAAAGCGACUCU
RNAcentral lists this ribosomal RNA (632 nucleotides) under uncultured bacterium. RNAcentral describes it as "bacterial SSU rRNA". It matches the Rfam family "Bacterial small subunit ribosomal RNA", at positions 97 to 728 of the family's 1533-position model. The record is from RNAcentral.